GGUAGGACUCUCGGCAACGGAUAUCUCGGCUCUUGCAUCGACGAAGAACAUAGCGAAAUAAGAUACGUGGUGUGAAUUGCAGAAUCCUGCGAACCAUCGAGUCUCUGAAUGCAAGUUGCGCCCGAGGCCAUCCGACCGAGGGCACGCCUGCCUGGGCGUCACGC
This 164-nucleotide ribosomal RNA is filed under the name Metroxylon salomonense. RNAcentral's name for it is "5.8S ribosomal RNA". It matches the Rfam family "5.8S ribosomal RNA". Rfam says of the family: 5.8S ribosomal RNA (5.8S rRNA) is a component of the large subunit of the eukaryotic ribosome. The record is from RNAcentral. Lineage: Eukaryota; Viridiplantae; Streptophyta; Magnoliopsida; Arecales; Arecaceae.